This 440-nucleotide ribosomal RNA is filed under the name uncultured bacterium. Its description in RNAcentral is "partial 16S ribosomal RNA". It matches the Rfam family "Bacterial small subunit ribosomal RNA", at positions 338 to 795 of the family's 1533-position model. The record is from RNAcentral.
CCUACGGGUGGCAGCAGUAGGGAAUAUUGCUCAAUGGGGGAAACCCUGAAGCAGCAACACCGCGUGGAGGAUGAAGGUUUUCGGAUUGUAAACUCCUUUUGUUAGAGAAGAUAAUGACGGUAUCUAACGAAUAAGCACCGGCUAACUCCGUGCCAGCAGCCGCGGUAAUACGGAGGGUGGAAGCGUUACUCGGAAUCACUGGGCGGAAAGAGCGCGUAGGCGGGAUAGCAAGUCAGAUGUGAAAUCCUAUGGCUUAACCAUAGAACUGCAUUUGAAACUGUUAUUCUAGAGUAUGGGAGAGGUAGGUGGAAUGCUUGGUGUAGGGGUAAAAUCCGUAGAGAUCAAGAGGAAUACUCAUUGCGAAGGCGACCUGCUAGAACAUAACUGACGCUGAUGCGCGAAAGCGUGGGGAGCAAACAGGAUUAGAUACCCCUGUAGUC